This 750-nucleotide long non-coding RNA is filed under the name Dermacentor andersoni. RNAcentral's name for it is "uncharacterized LOC126533199". Lineage: Eukaryota; Metazoa; Arthropoda; Arachnida; Ixodida; Ixodidae. The record is from RNAcentral.
CCGAUACAAUGUCCUUGAUGUGUACAGGUUACAUUAGGGAGGGCAUUCUGACAAAGUUGGUAAUCUAACGUAGUGUUCUGAAAGUAUACAGGUUAUGUUACAUCAAGUUAGGCACUCUUGAUAGCAAGAGCCUCCCAUCUGAGGUAAGAAUAAUUUUCUGUGGGCCUAGUUGAUACAUAGUUGACAAAUAUUUUUCAAAGUGCAAACCAGGAACAUGGCACAAAAGGAAGGUCAUUCACAGAACAGGCGCUAAACAGUUGAAGUAGCGCCUGCCCUGUGAAUGACCUUCCUUGUGUGUUCGUUCAAUCCUGCUCAUUCCAAUGUUUCUGCAAAAAAUACAAAAGAUGAAAACAUAAUUUGCUGUUCUGUUUCUUGUUUGCACUUUGAAAAAUAUCUGAGGUAAGGUUUUUGCAAUUUUUGCAGUACAUUUGAUAUUGGUAAUCAAAAACUGCUCUGGGCGAUCUUUUUAGCUCACCUCUAAAAAGGUGUACUAAGUGACUAGCCCGUCUCUGAAGUUGCAGCUUGACCUUGAUGCUUCUAAGCCUAGCGACAGUGAAUCCUGUGUUGUAAGCUGGGCUAAUCAGUUGGCAUGACAAUAGCCAUCAAUCAGCAUGCUUCUGACCCCAUGUAGUUGCCAAAUUCUGAAACUAAAAUCUGGAGGGCGGUUUCACUCUAAAAGAGAGCUUUUUCAGCAACAGCUGAAGUCAUGGUCAUUUUGACUAGCAAAGAAUUUGAGGGGAAACUCGUACA